RNAcentral lists this ribosomal RNA (502 nucleotides) under uncultured bacterium. RNAcentral describes it as "partial 16S ribosomal RNA". It matches the Rfam family "Bacterial small subunit ribosomal RNA", at positions 899 to 1397 of the family's 1533-position model. The record is from RNAcentral.
ACUCAAAUGAAUAGACGGGGGCUCACACAAGCGGUGGAGCAUGUUGCUUAAUUCGAUGCAACGCGAAGAACCUUACCUGGGCUUGACAUGGCCGGAUUAGUUCCCGGAAACGGGGAUGACACCCGCAAGGGUGGAACGGUCACAGGUGCUGCAUGGCUGUCGUCAGCUCGUGCUGUGAAGUGUCGGGUUAAGUCCCUUAACGAGCGCAACCCCUGUCGUUAGUUGCUCGGCGCAAGCCAGUACUCUAGCGAGACUGCCGCUGUAAAGCGGAGGAAGGUGGGGAUGACGUCAAGUCCUCAUGGCCCUUACGUCCAGGGUUGCAAACGUGCUACAAUGGCGCGCACAGAGCGAUGCAAGAGCGCAAGCUGGAGCAAAUCGCAAAAAACGCGCCCCAGUUCGGAUUGCAGGCUGCAACUCGCCUGCAUGAAGUCGGAAUCGCUAGUAAUCGGAGAUCAGCUACGCUCCGGUGAAUACGUUCCUGAGCCUUGCACACACCGCCCGU